RNAcentral lists this ribosomal RNA (499 nucleotides) under uncultured bacterium. Its description in RNAcentral is "partial 16S ribosomal RNA". It matches the Rfam family "Bacterial small subunit ribosomal RNA", at positions 28 to 507 of the family's 1533-position model. The record is from RNAcentral.
GACGAACGCUGGCGGCGUGCCUAAUACAUGCGAGUCGAGCGAAGUUUUUCUGGUGCUUGCACCGGAAAAACUUAGCGGCGAACGGGUGAGUAACACGUAAAGAACCUGCCUCAUAGACUGGGACAACUAUUGGAAACGAUAGCUAAUACCGGAUAAUAGCAUUAACUGCAUGGUUGAUGUUUAAAAGUUGGUUUUGCUAACACUAUGAGAUGGCUUUGCGGUGCAUUAGCUAGUUGGUGGGGUAAAGGCCUACCAAGGCGACGAUGCAUAGCCGACCUGAGAGGGUGAUCGGCCACACUGGGACUGAGACACGGCCCAGACUCCUACGGGAGGCAGCAGUAGGGAAUCUUCCGCAAUGGGCGAAAGCCUGACGGAGCAACGCCGCGUGAGUGAAGAAGGAUUUCGGUUCGUAAAGCUCUGUUGUUAGGGAAGAAUGAUUGUGUAGUAACUAUACACAGUAGAGACGGUACCUAACCAGAAAGCCACGGCUAACUACGUG